This is a non-coding RNA of Doryrhamphus excisus (bluestripe pipefish), 5468 nucleotides long. The record is from RefSeq and is a predicted model, not a curated record. NCBI's taxonomy places the organism in Eukaryota, Metazoa, Chordata, Actinopteri, Syngnathiformes, Syngnathidae.
AGCAGCAGCCACGAAGUUUCUAUAUUUAACCCCCCCCCCCAAACGUUUACAUGGUAUGUUCGGAAACACUACGGAUUCUCAAAGAACCGCGGAAAGCUCGACAGAACGUCCGCCAUUUGCAAAGAAUGCUGUUCAUCCUGAGUCGUUAGCAGAACAAAAGCAAACAUCAGCGACAUCGCUCAAGCGUGGCGGCGAACUCAAGUGCUGCAGCAGGACCGGCUUUGACCAUUGAUCCUGAUAAAGUCAGCGGGUGACCCCGGCUUGAUGCGACAAAGAAGUGAUCUGACCGGACGCUGCGUACAACUUCUGGACUCCUCGUUUGUUACACGUCCCAUCCACGGAGGCCUGCAGCUCAGCCAAGGGAAAAGGGGAGAGAGGUGAGGGGAAGGUUGCCGUGGUGAGGAGAGAGGGGCCGGCUGGCUGAUAACCACCGUGCUCCUUUCCAUCUCCUGGGCGGAUGACGGAGUAGCAGUGAGGAGAAAGAGGCUCGGCGGUCCUUGCUCGCACAGGCCGUAGUUUCCCAGCGGUCCGGUCGCACGAAGAGGCUGCAAGGCCUCUGCGUCGUCAGCUUCCGACACAUCUGACAUGUCCAAGGUGUUGGGCAGAUUAAUGUGGCUCCAUUCACCUGUGGGAGCAGCGGGGGAAGUGCUCCACUUGGCACUGGCUGCUGUUUCUGUCUUCUGCUCCAACUGACAGAUGUAGUCCAUCAACUCCUGCGGCGGGAAAAUAUAGCCAUCAUUGCACACGACGGGGCUCUCCUCCGUCGUUUGCAUAUCAGCAGUAAGCUUCUCCAGAUGCUCACGGUCCCUCUGCCAAGGCAACGCGCAACCAACAUGACGCCCAACAACACAACAGUGACGACGAUGUCAAUUAUCUUCAGAAGCGAGUCCACCCACUGUACCUUGGCGAUGUCCUGCAGACUUUGCCUCUCCUGCGCCCACUGCGCUCUGCUCUCUCUCAGUGCCAAACUGGAAUCUGCAAGUUGGAGGACCUCCUUUCUGUGGGCUGUGGUCAGUUUCUGCGUCAGGGUGCUGAUGGUGUUCUGGAGCUGCAGCACGCAGGUGUCUCUUUGGGCCAGCGAGUUCCUCAGACCUUGGAACUCCUUGGACAAAUUUCGGAGUUCGCCCUCAGUCUGUUCCAACAUGGUCUAACAAAGGUGACACGAAUACGAACAAGCUGUGGCGUUUUUUGCUCUUUCCUCCAUCCUGCACAGAUUUAUCAUAACAAAUGGACUCACUGCAACCAUUAUGCAGCUUGUUUGGAUCAGCCAUUCCAGAUCUGAGUCACUUUUUUUGCAUUUCCUUCCUAAUGCAACCAGUCCGACCUGCCUCAGUGACGCCAUCCAGACUGUCAGUCCCCAGGGUCUGUUCGUCUGUGAUCUGCCGGGCUCAUCACCGGAGAAGAGGAAGAAGGCUAACUGGGGAGCCUGCACUUGGCUGUAAAUCUGUCCUGGUUGUUUGGCGUUCCUGGGGUGCCUUCGCUUCUGCAGCCAAGUACCUGUCACAGGGGCAGCAGUCUUCCUGGUCCCCGGCAACCUCCUCCAGCUCCACCAAGGCAUUCCCAGGUCAGCUUUCAGACAGAAUCCCUCCAGCUUGUCCAGGUCUUCCCGGGGAUCUUCUCCCUGCUGGGCAUGCCCGGAAAACCUCACCAGGGAGGCGUCCGGUAGGCAUCCGGACUAGAUGCCCGAGCCACCUCAACUGGCUCCUCUCGAUGUGAAGGAGGAUGACUGAUGGAUGACUGACCUCCUCACCCAAUCUCUUAGGUUUGGGCUUCUGACUCUUCGACGUGACCAAGUAACGUCGGAAAGGCUUCGGGCUUCAGCAAGGUCUGGGUCGGGAAGUAGCAGAGUCCAGACGUUCCAGUUCCACCAGGAGGACACCAAGGCAUUCCCAUGGCAGCUAGGAGACAUAAUCCAAGUCCAAGACAGCAUACCCGCGACCCUGGACCUGAAAUCCCGAAGGAGAGCAUCCGGGCAUCUGUUCAUGACUUCAAGCGGACAGCAGGACAACGAUCCAGGACAUACCAGCAAGCUCAUCUCUGAAUGGCUGAAAGAAAAAAGAAAACUAGGUGUUGUCGUCCAAGUCCUGCCUUGAAUCCUAUUGAGAUGCUGUGGCGUGACCUUCAGAAGGAGCUUCAUGCUGGAGAACAUUCACGGCUGAAUGAAAACGACCUCUGCAAAAAUGAGUGGAACGGACUUCCUCCACAGUUCUGUAAGAGACUCAUUGCAAGUUAUCACAAACACUUGAUUGCAGUUGCUGCUGCCAAGGGUGGUCCAACCAGUUAUUAGGUUUAGACGGCAAUCACUUCCUUAUAUGGGCGUGACUGUGAGUCCCUCAAGCUUUGUUACUCCAUUUACGUUGCUAGGGGGGGGCGGUAUGCAUGGCGGAUGAAGAACACAGCAUUCCAAGACAAACACUUGCUGCCCACAGUAACAUUUGGUGGUGGUUCCAUCAUGUAUCAGCAGAUUGUUGCCAACAGUCUCCAAGAAUCAGUUGUCUGGAUCCAGCACCAAGACCAUGACCCUAAACACUGCUCCGAUUCUACUAAGGCAUCCAUGCAGAGGAACAAGUACACCGUUGUGGAACGGCCAUCUCAGUCCCCAGACCUAAAUAUGAUUGAAGAUCUGUGAUUUAAAGAUGGCCGUCCAUGCUUGGAAACCAUCAAACCUGACUCAACCGGAGAUGUUUUGGAACGAGGAAUGGUCCAAAAUACCUUCAACCAGAAUCCAAUUUUUACAUUACAGAGCACACAGCAAGAACUUGGCCAACAUUCCCAGUACAUCCCGACCUUUAACUGCGGACAAAUACUAGCAUUUGGGAUAUUUCCAAUGUUUCACAAGAGUCCAAACAAUCCGAGAAGAGUUUACACAAGACCCGUUUCUCAUACGCAGUUCAUCCCGUUGGGGUUUGGAGGAGCCAUGAAUUCCCGAUGAAUUGCUGGAUUCAGUUUCCUGAACUGUUCCUUUACGACGUGUAAUGCAUGCUCACGUAUUCACCUCCAUGAAAAGUACAAUUCCCUUUUAACAGAGACGGAAUUCUGUUGGGAUUUUGUACUGGAUGCUAAUACACCAGUACACCAUAAUACACUAGUACACCAAACAAUGACCUGCAUGGUAAACCUACAGGCAUACUGCUCAUCAAAACACUCAUGUUUUAUGUAUUCAUGGCAGUAUUUGCCUAGUAGGUAUUAUAUUAUAUUUUAGAAUAUUCCUGUGCUCAAUUCCGUUAUUUCUGACUGUUAUUUUUUUAUAUAGUUAUACUAUUACAUACUAUUGAUAUGUAUAUUUAUACUAGGCAUUGUAAGGUUGAGAGGUUGAGUUCAUGUGGCCUUAUGGGAAAAAAAUAUUCCCGCCUCUAUACAGCUACAAUACACCCCCCCCCCUCCAUUUUUAAGUCCACAUCCUGCAGUUAUAUAAAAAAAAACAAAUGUAGGCUAUAUUAUAUUAUAUUAUAUUAUAUUAUAUUAUAUUAUAUUAUAUUAUAUUAUAUUAUAUUAUAUUAUAUUAUAUUAUAUUAUAUUAUAUUAUGAUUUAUUUGGAGUUUUUGUAUUCCUUUAAAAAAAAGCCCACCCCUGAACGAAAAGUACACAAGUUAAUACAAGUGCCGCAAAAAUGUGCACAGGGGUUUGCUUUUUACACCCCACAGUGGUGCAAUAGAGCAGAAACUUUGCACAGAUGUUAGUUUGUAACAGAGGACGGUAAACUUCACAUUUCUAUCACCAUAUGCCCUUUUAUUAUUACAUUAUAUUUAUGCGUCUAUUUAUUUAUUGUAUCCGUGCGGCAAUUAAGUCCACGUUCGUGAUUCCAUACCUGUGUUUUAAAUCUGUUUUUUAUUGACUUUUCGUUUAUUUGUUGCAGCAGUGCGUGUUUUCUGUAUUGGAAAUGUCAAUAUCAUAAUAUUGAAUAUGAUAUUAUUGAAGUUUAAACCCUUUUUGGUGAUUCGAUUGGCAUUGAAAUGAUGCUUUCGAUUGUCAAAAACGAACUUUAGACUAUUUUAACGAAUGAUAAUCCUACACUGACUGUUUGUGGGUUCUUAUAAUAACUCUUUUAUUAUGUAUUUAUAAAUAUGAAUAUAUAAUCAUGUAUUCGGACUCAUGUCGUGGAUGCUGCGGAGCUGAAGGCUGCCCCGCAUCCACGGCGUCUGCGUGUGUGGAGGCUGACUUUGAACUUGAACUUCGUCUUGGCUAUAUUGCGGAUGUGCGCAGUGCAGCGGCACUAAUGAGCCCGCGCUAAUUGUUUCAUCGGAGUUGUUUGUCGCGUCUGUGCGCAAAGGACGUUGUUGCGUCUAAACUCCGGGUUCGUUUUGACAUUCAGACAACAGGGACACUUGUCCCUGAACGCAUCUCUUUCAUAAUAUCUUCUUUUUUAUUAAAGAUUCCAACAUCUGUAUGGUUGGAAUGUACUUUAAAUAGGCUGAGAUUUUUUUUUUAAGUCAAAGCGUCAAAAUAACAAAAAAUGCGCAUAGUUUGACGCCGAGUGGUGGUGCAAAUGACUAUUGGAGUCAGACACUCCAAAAAAAAGAUUCCCCUCAUUUUCCUUCCUGCGUCAUAUAUAUACUGCAGCUAUAAAUGCAAAUUGACUAAAUGGAAACCGGCGAUAAAUGGCAUCAACGUGUUUGUUAAGCGGCAUAAAGUGUGUUUUUGCACUUGGACCUGUGCGCAAAAGUGACGAAUAUACUUGGAGGAACUGCGGCAAAUAUAUAUGCAUUAUCUUGCAGUGUUAAAUCAACUAAAGAAUCGAUUAUCUAUCCUCAUCCAAUAUGUGAUCCACAUUCCUGGUGUAGUUACUGCACAUUGUUGUGGAAUUAUGCGCAAAAAAAUAAUACGCUAAGAUCUUUUCAUGGCUUUUCAUAGAAUUAUCUAAUAUUUACAUUUACUUCCAUAGCCUCGCUUUACCUUUGCAGCAUUAAACCCGAACAAUAAGUGCAAACCCGCCUGCCGCAUCUGUGCGCCACUGGCCUGUUUCUUUUUCUUGUGCUCCCCCUGAAAGCCUGAGUGUGUUACAAAAUGACUCGUUAGGAAUAUUAGUCAUAUAGUCUAUACGUCAUUGUCAAUAUAUUGCGGUUAAAAUAAGAGUUCAUAACCAAAUGUGGCGUUUAAUGUCAGGGAUGCGUGACAAUAUUUUCCUUAUUAUCGCAUACGCUAACUAAGGGAUUCUAGUUUUUAGUCUCGUUGUUUUGUUUGAAAGCUUAGACAUGGAUGCUCAUACAUUGGUAGAAUGACUUAUUAUUAUUACAUAUUUUCAGUGGAAUAUAUAUAAUAUUUUACUCACCUCAAAAUAUAGUAGUAUUUUGAAAGUAGACUCAAAAUCCAAUCCAUAAUCUUCACAAAGAUAAUAGUACUAAUUUACCUUCACAUUCACAUUUACCUUCAUUCUUGGGUAUCGAACACCGUGGCUGUGAUUUCACUCUUGCGUGGCAGCAAUGUACCCCAAUUGGAGCUUUUUUUUCUAAUAUUUUGGUUUCAUUUAA